GACGCCGCCAGCGCCGCGCGGAGCCCCACACCCGCGGAGACAAAGCCAUCUCCGAAACAAAACCUGCCGUCCUGGUGAACACAAUCGAGCAAGGCAGUGAAGCAAAAAUCAUUAGACAAGGUAACUGAGGCACAAAGAGUUCAAGCAACUUGUCCAAAGUCAUCCUCCAGGAAGUGGUGGGGCCAGGACUUGAACGCAGGAAGUCUGCCUCUUGUAUCCAGGCUGUCGUCCACUCAGCCAUGCUGUCUCGUAAAAAGAAGUCAAGUCACACAAAUAAUGUUACAUGUCUUUAAAAGGUGGCUGGACUCAGACACAUCACGCUCCAGUUUGGGUUCCAAGGUGCUUCUCUCUGGAUUUUCACCUGCCUUGCCAAAAAUGAUUGAUUACGCCGGGCCGACUGGGUGUCCGGCAAUACCCAACAAAUGACUUUGGCCCCUAACAGCAGGCCUUGGCCAGAUAGAAAUCAAUAUUUCACCAUUAAAAUCUAUCAAAGAAGA
Nyctereutes procyonoides (raccoon dog) is the source of this 497-nucleotide long non-coding RNA. RefSeq lists it as uncharacterized. The transcript has 4 exons. The record is from RefSeq and is a predicted model, not a curated record. Lineage: Eukaryota; Metazoa; Chordata; Mammalia; Carnivora; Canidae.